UGGGGAAUAUUGGACAAUGGGCGCAAGCCUGAUCCAGCAAUGCCGCGUGAGUGAUGAAGGCCUUAGGGUUGUAAAGCUCUUUCGCACGCGACGAUGAUGACGGUAGCGUGAGAAGAAGCCCCGGCUAACUUCGUGCCAGCAGCCGCGGUAAUACGAAGGGGGUCUAGCGUUGUUCGGAAUUACUGGGCGUAAAGGGCGCGUAGGCGGCCUGUUUAGUCAGAAGUGAAAGCCCCGGGCUCAACCUGGGAAUAGCUUUUGAUACUGGCAGGCUUGAGUUCCGGAGAGGAUGGUGGAAUUCCCAGUGUAGAGGUGAAAUUCGUAGAUAUUGGGAAGAACACCGGUGGCGAAGGCGGCCAUCUGGACGGACACUGACGCUGAGGCGCGAAGCGUGGGGAGCAACAGGAUUAGAUACCCUGGUAGUCCACGCCGUAAACGAUGAAUGCUAGACGUCGGGGUGCAUGCACUUCGGUGUCGCCGCUAACGCAUUAAGCA
Molecule: ribosomal RNA, 492 nt
Filed under: uncultured bacterium
Lineage: Bacteria
Description: partial 16S ribosomal RNA
Rfam family: Bacterial small subunit ribosomal RNA
Source: RNAcentral